CCUACGGGAGGCAGCAGUGGGGGAUAUUGCACAAUGGGGGGAACCCUGAUGCAGCGACGCCGCGUGGGUGAAGAAGCGCCUCGGCGCGUAAAGCCCUGUCAGCAGGGAAGAAAAUGACGGUACCUGAAGAAGAAGCCCCGGCUAACUACGUGCCAGCAGCCGCGGUAAUACGUAGGGGGCAAGCUUUAUCCGGAUUUACUGGGUGGAAAGGGGGCGCAGACGGCGAUGCAAGCCAGGAGUGAAAGCCCGGGGCCCAACCCCGGGACUGCUCUUGGAACUGCGUGGCUGGAGUGCAGGAGGGGCAGGCGGAAUUCCUGGUGUAGCGGUGAAAUGCGUAGAUAUCAGGAGGAACACCGGUGGCGAAGGCGGCCUGCUGGACUGCAACUGACGUUGAGGCCCGAAAGCGUGGGGAGCAAACAGGAUUAGAUACCCUAGUAGUC
RNAcentral lists this ribosomal RNA (440 nucleotides) under uncultured bacterium. Its description in RNAcentral is "partial 16S ribosomal RNA". It matches the Rfam family "Bacterial small subunit ribosomal RNA", at positions 338 to 795 of the family's 1533-position model. The record is from RNAcentral.